AUGUCAUUCUUGUCUCUGUUGGUAAAACAUCAGGAGGGUAGAUUGACAGUGGGAAAUGCCCCAAAUAGACAUAGUUUCUGCCUCAGCACAUUCAAUUUGUUCCUACUUCUUUUCUUCCUCCCUUUCCUGCAGUAUCCACCGGAGCACCACAGGAUGACUCCCCACAGAGGGCAGCAGGCUAACUGGGCAGCUGGUCUCAAAAACUACGGGAUUAUUGUUAAAAAACAAACACGUUUUGGAAGACUACUGACCAGUAGCCAGAAGGAAGGUCCUGAGUCAUCGAAGUGUUCUCCAGCUGGCAAAGGAGUAUGAAAACCCCCUGGCCAGAUCUGUCCUUGCUGGAGCAUCGAGAAUAGAGUACGAUUACGAUACCAAAAUCUACAAAAUGUGAAAGAGUAAAGGAAAACUAUCAGGUGAGAACCAAUUAUUUUUAUUCCAGAGAUAUAGGUAAGAAAUAUGAAUAGAUAUGUAUAUAUACAGAAGGGUACAUAAGAAACUAGAAACUGUGGUUGCCUUUGAGAAAAAGAAUUGAGGGCCUAACAGUCAGAGAUACUUUGCAUAGUUUACAAGGUUAUAAUAUUGUAAUUUCUUUCCUUGUACAUAUAUAGCUUUUUUAGAAGAAUGAGAAGUGCUUUACAAAUGCAAAGAUUUUCACUGUUAAGUCUUUAUUUCCAUAAAAUUAAAAGUAAGUGCCUGGUCAAUAGACUCUAGGCUGUAGCCAUGAUAUCCCUUGAUUUCGUUUACCUGAUAACACUAGCCCAUGUUUGUGAAUUCUUAAAAACUCCCCAAAUGAUUUUACAUACAUUACCUAAUUUGUAAGAUCACCUUAGUAUUUGUUACUAUUUUUUUAAUGUUUGUUUGUUUAUUUAUUUAUUUAUUUAUUUAUUUAUUUAGAGAGAGGGGAGAAGGCAUGGGAAUGGGAGAGGCGCAGAAAGAGAGGGAGAGAGAGAAUCCCAAGCAGGCUCCACACUGCGGAGCUCAGUCCCACAAACCUUGAGAUCCUGACCUAAGCCAAAGUCAAGAGCCCAGUGCUUAAUCAACCGAGCUGCCUAGCCUCCCCUAUUUGUUACUAUUUAUUAUUACUCAGCUCUUCUAGUUUUCUUCCCUUAAUAUGUGAUUAUAAUAUUGAAUUGCAGUGUUUUUGUUCCCCUGCACCGCACAAAAAAAAAUAUGGUACUAUUUUCAGAAGUUUCUAAGGAAGGUCUAUUUGAUACUUUGAUACUUUCUUAAGUAUUGGACCCAGGUGUAACAGAAUUAUAAAGCUCACGCUUCCAGAACAGAGACAUAACACUCAGGUGUUUAUCUUGAGAGCCAUAUGGUUGUUCAUCACAAUUCAGUUUGAUGUUACUUUUAUCUUAUCCCACUGAGCCCAAGACAGAGUGUUCAACAGCUCUGGGUAAAUAAAAAUAUUAGUCAAAAUUAAAUGGAGGGUGUG
This 1435-nucleotide long non-coding RNA is filed under the name Felis catus (domestic cat). Its description in RNAcentral is "lncRNA (ENSFCAG00000047132.1)". The record is from RNAcentral. Lineage: Eukaryota; Metazoa; Chordata; Mammalia; Carnivora; Felidae.